CAGGCGCACUAAGAGAAAAACAACAAGAAAAGGGAUAUGACAAUUAUAGGAAAUCCCCUCCCUAGAGUUAAGGAAGAGUAGGAAGUGGGCAUAAAAGAACAAAGGCUAUUUUAAUCCAGGGCUGACACCACUUGAGAAUCAGCCCGUUCCUCUCUCUGGAACAUUCUUUGCUUAAUAAAUUUUGUGGAGUGGUUAUUUGUGAGUCUCAUCCAAUUCUUUGUUCACAACACCAAGAACCUGGAACUCCCAACUUCCAAUCUGGUAACAUAUUUUGGUGAGCCAGCCAGGAGGAUAACCUGAUUGGAGAAUGGAACAGAUAAGUCCCACCGGGUACAAGAUCAGUCCCUGCAACAGUGAGGCUUUCAAACCUGCAAUACCUAAAGCUCCAGACCUAGAACAUGAAGCUCCCAUCAAUCGCUACCCUGUGAACCUGUGGAGGAUCCGAAGUACCUGUUUAAAGGGCAUCCAAAAGAUAAGUAAAUUCCUACUGACUUUGCUGGUGUCUGUGUUGCAUAGUUACUAUGGGAUAAGUAAUCCUAGUUAUUUAUAUAUAUUUGUCAUUUAACUGCUUGCUUCCCCCACAAGGGAACCAUUUUUUAUGUCCAUAAUCCUAUUUUCACCAAUAUUGGGGGUCCAACCUCAAUACCAAGUGUUUAAACAGAUUCAACGGUUAGUCGCACUAACUUAACUUCCUGUUACAUUUGUACCUCAGGCUCACUAUCAGCUGAAGUUUUACCAUUACCACUAGAAGAGAUAGUCAAGGUCAAUGCAAGAGUCACUGUUGCUACCCAGUCAGAAGCUACAUAUCCCAGUCCAGCUGUGGAAAGCUUAUUCCUAACAGUCUUAUCUCAGAUCAUAAGAAACAACCCAAAUUUAAAUUUUACAAAUGCCCCAAAUCAUGUAAGGGUUUUUCACAACCUGACUUCAGAGAGCCAAUUCCCAAUUUGUUUCACUUCCCACCGAACGAAUGGGACCUUUCUGGGAUCCCUAAACAAUUGUUUAUAUGAGGUUGUCCUCAGUUGGACAAAUCAAGAGAAACAUUACAAUUCCUCAGAAACAAAAAUCAAUUCAUAUUGCAAACUAGGAAAACAAAACCAAUUCCUCCUCAAGUAUCCUGAUCCAAGGUGACCUCAAUAUACAAGUAAUACCAAUACUUCCAGUAUUUCCACUGGUUGGACCACAGUGUUAAUCAACAAUUCAUCUUUGCCUCCAGCUCAAGCUUUGGCUUGGGGGGGUCCAAAGAUCAUUCGUAAAAUUCUACCCCAGCUUAUCUUUCCACUCUAGGCUUAAUGAACAACUUGCUGUGGCUGGAACACUUUUAUGGGAACAACUCACUGGAACUUCCUCUAGUGGCUCAGACACACCUUUGGAACUAGCAUCAUGGGGAUAUGAAGUAUCUUUGGACCCUGGGCAAGGGUUGUAUUUCGUAUGUGGAAAUUCAGGGUACAUGAGUCUUCCGAGUCAAUGGAAAGGGACUUGCGGCAUCGCUGCUUUACUUCCAAGACUGUUUUAUGCAAAUGCUAGUAUAUAUAAGACACAGCCAUGCAUUUGUAAAAAGGGCAGCUCCAGUGGUAUUACAUCCUUCAGCAACUGCAAUAACAGGACUUUUAGGAACCACACUUGGGCCCAUUUCUCUUCAGUUGUCUUCACAACAAACAGGCUUUGGCAGAAAUUACAGCAGCUAUCCAAGAACAACGACAUAUAGAUUCCCUGGCAGGCAUUGUCUUACAAAACAGGAGGGGGCUAGAUCUCCUCGCAGCUAAUCGGAAGGGAUUAUGCGUUUUUCAAAAAGAAGAAUGUUGUUUCUAUAUUAACUCCUCAGGCAAGAUACUGGGACAUCUGACUAAGGCAAUUAAUGUAACCAAUUUAAGACCUGCACAAAACACCCUAAAUUCUGUUUAAAUAACUGCAAAAAGUUGGAUAGCCCCUUUUAUAGGACCCUUAACUGUAAUUCUUCUGUUGUUCAUUUUUGGCCCUUACACUGUAAAUUUGCUAACCAGAUUUAUUUCUUCCUGUUUAGAGUCUAUCAAGCUACAAAUGGCUAUAUUGCCUGAAGCCCCAGACAUCAUCAUACAAGAAAUAAGUCCACACUUCAUAAUUUCCCCCUGGAUAGAGCAGGGUGAGAGUUCUGUGGUCCCCCGUUAGGUAGGGUCAACAGUCCCACUCAGCCGGAAGCAGCUAUAGAAGAAAGAACUUCAAUCCUCAGCAAGCUAUAGAGAUUUAUGGGGAUCACAUCUCUCAGAGGGAACUGAGGCAGGAGAAUAGGGAAGGAAGUCAGAAAAUCAACCAGCAGCCCGUUCUCAGCAAAACAAGCAUAAGGCACCAUCUGAUAAGGAAGCUGAAGCAAUGAACCAGUGCUUUCUGCAGUAAACAAAUCUGGUAUAAAAUGAAACAGGAAAGUCACUGAAAGAAGAGCAUGCGCAUUAGGGGCAAAAUGUGUCCUCAGGAUAACCUUUUAUUAUAAUAAGUUACUUAAAGCCCAUACAUAUGGAGUGCAUAUCAUACAUACGCUUAAAAUUAUGGAAUGGCAAGCACACACAGGCACACUGAGAGAGAAAAACAAGAAAACUGAUAUGUCAGUUAUAGGCAACCUCCUCCCUAAAAGUUAAACAAGAGUAGUAAGGGGGUAUAAAAGAACAAAGGCUGUGUUAACCCAGGGCUGAUACCACUCGCAGAUCAGCCUGUUCCUCUCUCUGGAACAUUUUUUGCUGAAUAAAUCUUGUGGUGUCAUUA
Piliocolobus tephrosceles (Ugandan red Colobus) is the source of this 2733-nucleotide long non-coding RNA. RefSeq lists it as uncharacterized. The record is from RefSeq and is a predicted model, not a curated record. Lineage: Eukaryota; Metazoa; Chordata; Mammalia; Primates; Cercopithecidae. The transcript has 3 exons.